Molecule: transfer RNA, 57 nt
Filed under: Odocoileus virginianus texanus
Lineage: Eukaryota; Metazoa; Chordata; Mammalia; Artiodactyla; Cervidae
Also listed under: 3 other names
Rfam family: tRNA
About the family: Transfer RNA (tRNA) molecules are approximately 80 nucleotides in length. Their secondary structure includes four short double-helical elements and three loops (D, anti-codon, and T loops).
Source: Rfam by way of RNAcentral
UAGCUCAGUUGGUAAAGAAUCUGCCUGCAAUGCAGGAGACCCGGGUUCAAUUCCUGG